This is a non-coding RNA of Physcomitrium patens, 2082 nucleotides long. The record is from RefSeq and is a predicted model, not a curated record. NCBI's taxonomy places the organism in Eukaryota, Viridiplantae, Streptophyta, Bryopsida, Funariales, Funariaceae.
CAGGCCUUCAUUCAUCACCCGAGCCGAUCUGUGAACCUACUAACUCCAUCACAAAAACAGGCAGUUAAUGAGACUGCAAGCAAGACGAGGUGAGCAUACCCUUCCCGCCGCGGCCAACGCUGCCACGCCCUUAAUCUCCCACGAUCCUCCGCCCCACCCCCAAUGCAACAACACCGCAACGCCCUUGAAAUGAGCUGCCACAGCAAUCCUCCCGGAAACAUCUGGAAAUGUCUUCAGUGUGAAAGGGGAGGAGGCUGUCCACUGUUGAGGACCAAUGGGAUCACGAAGAGGCUCCACGUCAUUACGCGGUAAGCCGACGUACGAUGCAGUGUGAACGGGAUCCUCAGAUUUAGCAAAGUCGUGGCGGGGGGUCGACCUACCUCAUCUUAUCCCCACCCACCGAAUCGGCGGGCGAACAGAAAACCACAUCCUCAUCCAUUGUACCCACUCGAGACCCCCUCCAACGUGCAGACCCAGAACGAGAAAGGACGAGUCCGUCUGUCAGUGCGCGCGAGCGUUCGUCCGUCCAUUGUUCCGUCCGUCCGUCCGUUCACCACCACCACCGAUUUGUUAGGUCUGCCAAUAAGUUCCACAACCAAGCUCAUCGUCAUCAUCAUAUGAAGUCAAAUGAAGAAGCUUGAGUUUAUGGCAAUUUAUCAUUGUGGGUGUUUCUCAUAGAACAAGGGCUUGACUCCAUUCCCAAGACGUGUGCCUCAUUUUAAGGCCGUGAGGGAAAGUCAAAAUCAGGCAAACAAUUUUGGACAUCCUCGUUUUUUGUGGGACACUCUUUUGGUAGAUGUAACAAUAUUUUUUUGUAAACCAUGUGGUGGAUCGAUUUAAGAUUUAGGAUUCGGAGUAACAUUGCAGUACCUGAAGCUCGCACGGCGUUGUGAUGCGGCGAUGUCAUCCACUUCUUAGGGUUUGGAAGCCCUGCAACUGGUAGGCAAGAUAAAAGCAGAGCAAAUGCAUCGUCAGGGAUCCUCUGAAACCUACGUGAUCUUUGACCAGAGUGUGCAUGCAACAUCUGCAGACAAGCUUUCAUUGGCCCCCGCUGACGAUUGCUUGCGCAGAGCUUUCAUUCUCGAAAUGUCAGGAAAAUUUGCGGAGCUGAGUAUAAUGAUGGUGCAAACCAGGAUGAAUUUAUAUGAUCCACAGGCUCCGAGACUUGGAGCCUUGAAUCCCUAACCAGGCUGCUGCUUCUGUACUCAUUCAGGUACCCACUUGGACGCUGCACCACGAAUCGCAUGCCACACUUAACUGUGGUGGGUAAGUGUGAUAUUUAAGAACGUGUGUUACGCACAAGCUUUUUGGCCUCUGUUGCCAGGGGCUUGUAUUCAUCGGGAAACCUGAAACUCCUGACUCAAUCCUGAUAAAUCUGGAAGGGGUUACAGCAGCUGAGGACAUUGGUCAGCAAUGGCUGAAUGCACCGCUUCUUUUCUUCGACGAUAACAUGGAUUAGUGCUGGAGUCAAGCAUAGAUUCCAGCCGCUUGGAUUGGUAAGUCAGAAGAUCGCUCGUGUGUUGUCACUCCGGUGAGCGAAGUUGCGAUGAGCGUAAAUUGGUGCCGAUCAUGAUGCGCUGCCAAGGCCAUGCGGGGGUCCGAGCACAGUUUUGCGUCAUUUGCUGCAGCUGGGCUGAGAAUUUCAGAAAGGGCAUCUAAGCAGAGCCGAUGCAGCACGAGCUCCGCGGCAUCGGACCAAAGAAAGGGAUAUCGUCCUCCACUUCGCUUUCCUCCGGCAAACUUACAGGAGGAUCUCUGUGGCUGAUUCAAGACCCCCAGUCGAGACGUGCAUCAUUUGCUGAUCUUACUGAAGGAAAUCGCUACUUCUGUGUUGCAUCCUGCAGAUGCAAUCUUCUGCAGCAAAGAAGCAAGUUCAAUUCUACGGGGUUGAAGCGUCGGUGAGUAUGACAGAUCUCAAAGGGUUGUAGCUUUGGACGCGGCCAUGUCACUCCGCCCGAUCGCGUCGGUGGCCUCCACCGCCGAACCCCCGUGUCUGCCUGUCCAUGGCCGCUUCGGCGAUGACCUGUUCGUCCACCUCGGAGGGGGCACCGAGCCACCGACACACCGACAUACCGACAGAAU